This 39-nucleotide non-coding RNA is filed under the name Mycobacterium tuberculosis. The record is from RNAcentral. Lineage: Bacteria; Bacillati; Actinomycetota; Actinomycetes; Mycobacteriales; Mycobacteriaceae.
CCUCAGCUCAGCAUCGCUGAUGCGGUCCAGCUCGUCCGU